Transfer RNA from Thecamonas trahens ATCC 50062, 84 nucleotides. It matches the Rfam family "tRNA". Rfam says of the family: Transfer RNA (tRNA) molecules are approximately 80 nucleotides in length. Their secondary structure includes four short double-helical elements and three loops (D, anti-codon, and T loops). Further hydrogen bonds mediate the characteristic L-shaped molecular structure. tRNAs have two regions of fundamental functional importance: the anti-codon, which is responsible for specific mRNA codon recognition, and the 3' end, to which the tRNAs corresponding amino acid is attached (by aminoacyl-tRNA synthetases). tRNAs cope with the degeneracy of the genetic code in two manners: having more than one tRNA (with a specific anti-codon) for a particular amino acid; and 'wobble' base-pairing, i.e. permitting non-standard base-pairing at the 3rd anti-codon position. NCBI's taxonomy places the organism in Eukaryota, Apusomonadida, Apusomonadidae. The record is from Rfam.
GACGGCAUGGCGAAAUUGGUAAACGCGCACGUUUUGAAAGCGUGUAUCAGAGAUGAUGUGGAGGUUCGAGUCCCUCUGCCGUCG